Molecule: long non-coding RNA, 449 nt
Organism: Sinocyclocheilus grahami
Lineage: Eukaryota; Metazoa; Chordata; Actinopteri; Cypriniformes; Cyprinidae
Exons: 4
Source: RefSeq, a predicted model, not a curated record
GUAUUAAAUGUUCUCUAGGUCGUGUCUUUAUACGAGUACAGAGCCAAUCGAUCGGAUGAGCUGUCGAUACGCCGCGGUGAUUUGAUCCAUGUGCUGUAUAAAGACAAUGACAGCUGGUGGUUUGGGCGACUGGUCAGUGGACAGGAAGGAUACUUCCCAGCGUCCUAUGUGGCUGAUGAUGGGAGUUUUGAUGACGAGCUCUCAAGAGCUUUAGAAGCACUGCCGUCAGCGUUAGAUCAACCUGAAGGAGUCGAGCAUGUGACACCAGUCCAGCUGUCUGCAGCCAUCAGUGCCUCUGGAGAGCUGAAGAUCAUCUCAGAGCUGGACACUGACCCUGAGGCGUCCUCCACCACAACAAAAAAGAAGAAGAAAAAGGUGAAGCGGAGUGAAGUUCCCUCUGAUCUGCCUCGGGUCCCGUCCUCAGAUCGUGAGAUGUCUUCAGCAUCUUC